UCCCGCUCGUACUCUGUCUCUCUCUCUCUCUCUCUUUCUCUCAAAAAUAAAUAAACGUUAAAAAGAAUUUUUUUAAAAAAGAGGGAAAUGUAGCCACAGGCACUGAAACACACAGGGGAGAGAACCAUGGGAGCACGGGAGCAGAGAGAGGGAUGCGUCCCUCUAAGCCCUCCAGAAGGAACAAAGCCUCGACCUUUAGCUCAGACUUCUGGUCUCCAGAACUGUUAAGAGAAAAAACUCCUAGUUGUUCUAAGCCACCACGUCUGUGAUAAUAAGGCAGCCCUAGGAAAUGAAUACACCCUCCUUGCCCAGAGCAGGACAACGUGCGUGCACACACACACACACACACACACACAGCGACUGAACCACACAAUUACUUGGACUCACACUUUGACUAGGCCACACAAGCCCACGUCGCACGGCUCCUAUGCAAGGUCCUCCUGUUCACAGUGGCCCUGCACCCAGCAGGCGAGCAGUUCCAUGCACGUCACAUGCCCACGUGCCGGCCUAUCCUUACCCCUGGACCCACCAGGAACUCUCUGGAAGAAGCCUCCCAGAGGACAGAGCCCUCCAAACUCCCGCUGAGGCUUCCUUCCUGGUCUCCCCUUCCCUCCCUCCCUCCUGCCCUUCCUCCCUUCCUUUCUUCCUCCCUCCCUCUGCCUCUAUGCCUUCCCCUCUGAGUAAACACAGCCCUGUGGCGAGGCCCGCCAUGUUCUCGGAGAGCUGCACAUUGCCACCUGUUGCUAUGGAGAAGCCUCUUUAUCACAAACACUGGGAGAAUCCAAGUACAGGAUGGACAAGUGGCAGCCCAGUCCUCAUCUGUUCCCCACCCCUGCACACACCAGGAGUGAUGGAAUGCCACAGACCCAGGCUCUCUGCUCCCCAGCCUGACUCCCAGAUCCAUAACAUUUUCCACGUGAACAGUCUUCAGAGGUGCAGCCUGAAGCCGCAGGGAAAUGAACUUGGUGCCCCCCUUGCCCCACCCCCAAGACCCCCAAGGAGAAGCUGUCUCCAGGAAAGGUGGGGGG
This is a long non-coding RNA of Leopardus geoffroyi (Geoffroy's cat), 1028 nucleotides long. RefSeq lists it as uncharacterized. The transcript has 2 exons. NCBI's taxonomy places the organism in Eukaryota, Metazoa, Chordata, Mammalia, Carnivora, Felidae. The record is from RefSeq and is a predicted model, not a curated record.